RNAcentral lists this ribosomal RNA (508 nucleotides) under uncultured bacterium. RNAcentral's name for it is "bacterial SSU rRNA". It matches the Rfam family "Bacterial small subunit ribosomal RNA", at positions 21 to 518 of the family's 1533-position model. The record is from RNAcentral.
GGUUCAGGAUGAACGCUAGCUACAGGCUAACACAUGCAAGUCGAGGGGCAGCAUGAUCAAAGCUUGCUUUGAUUGAUGGCGACCGGCGCACGGGUGAGUAACGCGUAUCCAACCUUCCCUAUAGUAGAGGAUAGCCCGGCGAAAGUCGGAUUAAUACUCUAUGUUUUCCAAUGCAGACAUCUAAAAUGGAACAAAGGUUUACCGCUAUAGGAUGGGGAUGCGUCUGAUUAGGUAGUCGGCGGGGUAACGGCCCACCGAGCCCUCGAUCAGUAGGGGUUCUGAGAGGAAGGUCCCCCACAUUGGAACUGAGACACGGUCCAAACUCCUACGGGAGGCAGCAGUGAGGAAUAUUGGUCAAUGGGCGCGAGCCUGAACCAGCCAAGUAGCCGUGCAGGAUGACGGCCCUAUGGGUUGUAAACUGCUUUUAUACAGGGAUAAAGUGGGGAACGUGUUCCCUUUUGUAGGUACUGUAUGAAUAAGGACCGGCUAAUUCCGUGCCAGCAGCUGC